Long non-coding RNA from Alosa alosa (allis shad), 1839 nucleotides. RefSeq lists it as uncharacterized. The record is from RefSeq and is a predicted model, not a curated record. The transcript has 10 exons. Lineage: Eukaryota; Metazoa; Chordata; Actinopteri; Clupeiformes; Clupeidae.
UUCUAUCAACAAAUGUUGUGAAACUCUUAUUUUGAAGCAUCAGCUGAGCCCAUUGGCUGAGGCCCAGUGUGUUAUUAUUGUACAUAGGCCUACGCUAGCGCAUUCACAAUACAAUUCAUGACAGAAGGACAAUGAUAUUUGUAAGUUACUUGUUUAACUAGGCUAUAAUGUCUAGUCUUAUUUCUAACAAGACCAAGAUUUAAUUUACUGGAUCCUUGGAACGUGAAGCUACCAGCUGGCUCGCACCGCGCGCACGGAAUGCUUUGAGUAGACAAAAGUCCGUUGGGCUACUUUGUUACCAGAACGACGGAGGCGAAGCUCAACCUGCGUGUCCAGUUGGUCUUGUGAAGACGUUGCCCGAUGGUUGGAGGAUAAUGGAUUAGGGGAGCAUCAGGCAAUAUUCAGAGAGAAUCUAAUCGAUGGCGAGACUCUCCUCUCAUUGAGUGAAAGGAUGAUAGACAAAUUACUCCCCCUCAUUAAAACUCAAGUUCAGUUUACUAAGUUACUUGAUAAAUUAAAAGGAAAAUCACAUACAGUCACUGUAAGCUCUCCACAGGAAAGACCACAUUUUGAAUUGAACUUAAAUAAUAGUGUAUAUAGUUUUCAACUUCCUGCUUUUCCGCCUCUCCUGAGGAAAAAACUCUCAGAGGAGAGUCCAGACUUCCAUACUCCAGCAUACAGAUCAAAAUGGAGGUCGCAAAUUAUACAAGUCCUCUUUGACUCAAUUUGUUUGUAUACAUGGUACCCAAGUAGUAAACAAUAUAAUGGCAUUUGUGGUGCUCUUGUGACAAAGUACCCUUUUUUACGUGAUCGAACAGGACAAGGUUAUUUGGUUGGGAAUGCUUAAAAACAAGUUUAAAAAAGAGCGAAUCCCACUGAACAAUCCCGACAUUGAAUACUACAGAGCAAAACAUGGGGGGAAAAAUUUUAAACAAUACAGGCAAGUCAGGCUCUUACAAGCCAAGUGGCAGACCAGACGCCUGCUUUCCAGGAUGUGAUUGAAGACGUAGUACCAAAUGCAGUUUUUCAACAUGACAAGGAAAAUGAAGAUCCAUAUAGUGUUGGGAAGCAUAUUGCAAAAAUGAAGGAGGAGUGUAAGAAAGUCCAUCCAAACAUUACCAUCUUAAAGGAUAAAAUGAAAAGGACAACACAUGAAAGAAUGGAGUUUAUCCAGAGUCACUCUACCAGGGAGUCAUUACUGGAAUCCCCUGCAUUAAAUCAGAUUUUCUCAGAAAUUGAAGAGAGAUAUAAAGUUGACCUGGACAAGAUGCUGCUGCACGGCCUGGGGAGGGCAGCAGGGAAGAUUAUUGAGCAGGUGUCAAAAAAGAAGCAGGGAACUAACAUUCUUUCCGAAUACGAGAUGGCACUGGGUGAAGCUUGCGAGGAGACUCACAAAGGACUCAAAAUUUGUGCUGCAGCACUCAUGCUCCCGCACCUGUUCAACAAGAACCCUGACAAGCUGUAUGUGAUUGAUAAGGUGCCCAGGGCUCCAACUCCUCUCCUGGUGGUGGAUGGCAACCCUUUUGGAGAUUGUAGCAUAACCCUAACAAUGGACGGCGUUUCUAUAGCACACCCUGAUGACAUCACAAUGGGUAUUGCAGCAUUACUGGGGACAUACUUCAUUUUCAGAGUGAAAUACGCUCAAAAUAUAAAAAAGACACUUGCAUUCCUCCAGAUAGCAUCAGGAAUUACAUCACAAGAAAAAAUAAAUCCAACGGUGGUUAGAAUGGCCAAUGCCUUACUGUAAGAUUAUUGUAUUUACCCUUGCAUGUAUAUAUUAUUUUAUUUAUUGUAUUUAUUAUUGUAUUGUAUUUAUCAAUAAAUAUCUGAUUUAACAAA